GCGGGGCGCGCGGCGGUGCGGGCGGGUGACUGGCGGCGGGCGCCGCGGUCGGGCUGGCUGCCGGGCAGCAUGGAGGAGCUGAGCAGCGUGGGCGAGCAGGUCUUCGCCGCCGAGUGCAUCCUGAGCAAGCGGCUCCGCAAGACAUAACAGCUGGGAGCCGGAGGAGAACAUCCUGGACCCGAGGCUGCUCCUGGCCUUCCAGAAGAAGGAACAUGAGAAGGAGGUGCAGAACCGGAAGAGAGGCAAGAGGCCGAGAGGCCGGCCAAGGAAGCUCACUGCCAUGUCCUCCUGCAGCCGGCGCUCCAAGCUCAAGGAACCCGAAGCUCCCUCCAAAUCCAAGUCCAGCAGUUCCUCCUCUUCCUCCACGUCAUCCUCUUCUUCCUCGGAUGAAGAGGAUGACAGUGACUUAGAUGCUAAGAGGGGUCCCCGGGGCCGCGAGACCCACCCAGUGCCGCAGAAGAAGGCCCAGAUCCUGGUGGCCAAACCCGAGCUGAAGGAUCCCAUCCGGAAGAAGCGGGGACGAAAGCCCCUGCCCCCAGAGCAAAAGGCAACCCGAAGACCCGUGAGCCUGGCCAAGGUGCUGAAGACCGCCCGGAAGGAUCUGGGGGCCCC
RNAcentral lists this long non-coding RNA (612 nucleotides) under Pan troglodytes (chimpanzee). RNAcentral's name for it is "long non-coding RNA NONPTRT006943". Lineage: Eukaryota; Metazoa; Chordata; Mammalia; Primates; Hominidae. The record is from RNAcentral.